CCUACGGGUGGCAGCAGUGAGGAAUAUUGGUCAAUGGUCGAGAGUCUGAACCAGCCAAGUAGCGUGAAGGAUGACUGCCCUAUGGGUUGUAAACUUCUUUUAUACAGGAAUAAAACGCGGCACGUGUGAUUUUUUGCAUGUACCUUAUGAAUAAGGAUCGGCUAAUUCCGUGCCAGCAGCCGCGGUAAUACGGAGGAUCCGAGCGUUAUCCGGAUUUAUUGGGUUUAAAGGGAGCGUAGAUGGGUUGUUAAGUGUGUUGUGAAAGUUUGUGGCUCAACCGUAAAAUUGCAAUGGAUACUGGCAGUCUUGAGUACAGUUGAGGUAUGCGGAAUUCGUGGUGUAGCGGUGAAAUGCUUAGAUAUCACGAAGAACCCCGAUUGCGAAGGCAGCUUACGAAACUGUGACUGACAUUGAUGCUCGAAGGUGUGGGUAUCGAACAGGAUUAGAUACCCUGGUAGUC
This 460-nucleotide ribosomal RNA is filed under the name uncultured bacterium. Its description in RNAcentral is "partial 16S ribosomal RNA". It matches the Rfam family "Bacterial small subunit ribosomal RNA", at positions 338 to 795 of the family's 1533-position model. The record is from RNAcentral.